Molecule: long non-coding RNA, 592 nt
Organism: Tribolium madens (black flour beetle)
Lineage: Eukaryota; Metazoa; Arthropoda; Insecta; Coleoptera; Tenebrionidae
Exons: 2
Source: RefSeq, a predicted model, not a curated record
UCGAAUCAUCAGAAUUGGUGGAAGAAAAUGGGGACAUUGUAAUGAUUAGUUCCGCAUCAGAUGAAGAAGGUAAGGUACAGUUACACCGGUGUGUACAUACUACGUUUAAGUGAAAGUCCUACCAGUACCCAAGUGUUGUGAAAAAGAAAGCAAAAAGGAAGUGAGUCAGGAGCAGCCUUUUGGAACGGUGUCUUCUAAGACUUUGCAGUGCAGAAUCCACAAGCUAAUUGAAAUAUGCAAGUGUUCACCUUGAUCAUUUGGUGGAGGUAGGCCCGCCGGCUAUUUGAAUGAUUACAUGGAGCUGAUAGCUGACCCCCAAUUCGACAUUUGGGAAGUAGACCGCAUUAUGGAUUUGGUGCCGAUCACCAUUCUGGAGACGGCAGACCGGGUCGUCAUUAAGUGGUUGGAACGGCCGCCCUCCUUCACUCGGCGGUGGGCUCAUCAAGGUGACCUGGGAGCCUUUUCGUCCCUUAGAGGCCAUAUUUGUACCGUGUGGGCCUGGCGAGUGCCCUCUCUUUACUAAUUCUAAUUGUAACACAAAAUUUACAUGUUUUUUUUGUUCUUUGUAUGAAUAAAUGGUGUUGAUAAGUUA